This 1445-nucleotide long non-coding RNA is filed under the name Lupinus angustifolius (narrow-leaved blue lupine). RNAcentral describes it as "long non-coding RNA (LANG_LNC003699)". Lineage: Eukaryota; Viridiplantae; Streptophyta; Magnoliopsida; Fabales; Fabaceae. The record is from RNAcentral.
GUUCAAUAAUUAAACUGUAUGUUGGUUAAACCAAAUAUAUAUGUUUAUAUUUAUAUAGAUAUGUGAAACUAAUACUUAAUUUCACCCACAUUUAUACCUGAUUGUCAAUGCACAGAUACAAAUCAACCACAUAUAUGCCCCUUCAUUCUGUACCAACACUGUGUAGUUAAAUUUCUUCAAUACCGAUUCCUACAAUUCAUGAAGUAAUCCAGCAAUACCAAUUCCUGCAAUUCAUGAAUCAAAGGGCAUAAUAUGUGUUUGAUUCUAUAAAUUAAGUGUAAUUUUUUAAAUAAAAAAUAUGAUAAAUACAAUUAAGUUAAAAAAAAAUGAUAUACUGUGAAGACAAGUCCAAAUAAUAUGAUAUCACUUUAUUAUUUUUGGUUCGUUAAUAUAUAAUAUAAGAUCGAUUUAAACAAUAUAUCUUUAGAAUUGCUGAUACAUUUUGUAACCAAAAAUAAUAAAGACACAUUGAUUUGUAUAUUAUUCGGAUUUUUCUCCAUAAUAUAUCAUAUUUUGUUUAACUUAAUUGCAUUCAUCAUAUUUUUUAUUUACAAAAUUAUAUUUAUUUCUCACGGGGUGGUUAGUGUAAUGAAAAUAUAAAAAUUAGAUGGCUUGUGUAGGUGUAGAAAAGUGAGGGAUGAUUUAUGUAAUUUUACUAAAACUCAGGGAGUGUAGUGUAAUUAACUCUAAUAAUAAUAAUAAUAAUAAUAAUAAUAAUAAUAAUAAUAAUACACCAAUUCAUGAAGUAAUUCAGCAACAGUGAAAAUUAGAUAAACAAUUACUACAAUACCAAUUGUUGCAAUAUCUAUUCCUGCAAUACUUAAUACUCAAUUAGAUUAACAAUUCCUCUCCAAUUUCAUGAAAACAUGGAUUACCAAUUUUUAGGUACAUUUAAUCCAGCAAAACUGAAAAUUGGAGCAAUAUUGAGAUUCUUCUCUAAACUCUUAAAUCUAAUUUUAAAAGCACGGUAUAGACAGGAUAAAAGAGGCUAAAGUAAUUCCUCUGUAAACUUUAAAUCUAUUUCCUCUGUAAACUCUUCCAUUGAUGCACAUAGAAAAGGCUAAACUAGCAAGUAAGUUAAUUGAACAAUAGAAGAACGAAGUAAAGAAGAAGCACUUUACAACAUCAAUUAAAAAUCAUAACCUUGUGAGAUGAUAUAAGUUGAGAGAUGUGACAGAGAUGAUGUGCAACUCUACAAGGAAUAGACUGGAAGGGAGAUGAUGCGCCAGUGGAAGGGAGUGGACGGAGAUGGUGGCGUGCUGAUGGAUGCGUGGAACUGGAGAAUAAGUGAAGAAGGGUUGAACCGUUGAUGAGGUGGAGAAAAAUUGAAGAAGGGUUGAAGAGGUUUGAAGUGUGUGGGAAGUGGGUUGAAGGGUUGAAGAAGGUUGAAGGGGUGAACUUAUUUUUGUACGCGUGAAGGUUUGAACCGUUUUUUUUUAUUAUCU